UCAAACUUGGUCAUUUAGAGGAAGUAAAAGUCGUAACAAGGUUUCCGUAGGUAAGUAUUUGAAUGCCAUUUAUCUCUCUAUGCUUGGAUAACGUGCUAACUUAUUUAGGUGAACCUGCGGAAGGAUCAUUACUGAGUGCGCCCCCCUGUAAAAAAGGGGGUACCUCCCGUCCUUUGCUGGGCCCCUAGAGGGCUUUUUCAAACUUCUGCUUCGGUGGGGUUACCCGCCGAAACACCCUCAAAAACUCUUUGAUAAACCGUUCCGUCCGAGAGCUUUGUAUGAAUUAGAAAACUUUCAACAACGGAUCUCUUGGUUCUGGCAUCGAUGAAGAACGCAGC
RNAcentral lists this unclassified non-coding RNA (338 nucleotides) under uncultured fungus. RNAcentral describes it as "partial contains small subunit ribosomal RNA, internal transcribed spacer 1, and 5.8S ribosomal RNA". The stretch from base 1 to 131 matches the Rfam family "Eukaryotic small subunit ribosomal RNA", at positions 1759 to 1831 of the family's 1831-position model. The record is from RNAcentral. Lineage: Eukaryota; Fungi.